UUGUAAUUGAAUAAAAGCUCAUCUUCUGUAGACUCACUGAAAACAUCUCAGAGACAGUUCCAGAAGCAGUGAGGACAAAGUGUAUGCCUACAAAGAGAGAAGCUGCUUCCGCUCAUCCUCUCUGGGAUUUUGUCUUCACCCUACACCUGAAGGAGCCCACAGGCCAACAGGGAGUGAGUGUUCUCAUCUUGGAGAGCCAGCAGGAAUGGAGGCCUUGUCUCUUGCAUUGGCAUGGUCCAGAUGAAGAAACUGGGAUCCAGAGGGGAAAACA
Molecule: non-coding RNA, 271 nt
Organism: Phascolarctos cinereus (koala)
Lineage: Eukaryota; Metazoa; Chordata; Mammalia; Diprotodontia; Phascolarctidae
Source: RefSeq, a predicted model, not a curated record